UAAGGUUAAGUUAAUAAGGGCGCACGGUGGAUGCCUUGGCACUAGAAGCCGAAGAAGGACGUGACUAACGACGAAAUGCUUUGGGGAGCUGUAAGUAAGCGCUGAUCCAGAGAUGUCCGAAUGGGGGAACCCACUAGUUAAUGACUAGUAUCCAUAUCUGUUAAGGAUAUGAGAAGGAAGACGCAGUGAACUGAAACAUCUAAGUAGCUGCAGGAAGAGAAAGCAAAAGCGAUUGCCUUAGUAGCGGCGAGCGAAACGGCAGGAGGGCAAACCGAAGUGUUUACACUUCGGGGUUGUAGGACUGCGAUAUAGGAUUAAUCAUUAUAGAAGAAUUACCUGGGAAGGUAAGCCAAAGAGAGUAACAGCCUCGUAUUUAAAAUGAUAGAUUAACCUUAGCAGUAUCCUGAGUACGGCGAGACACGCGAAAUCUCGUCGGAAUCUGGGAGGACCAUCUCCCAACCCUAAAUACUCUCUAGUGACCGAUAGUGAACCAGUACCGUGAGGGAAAGGUGAAAAGCACCCCGGGAGGGGAGUGAAAUAGAACCUGAAACCGUGUGCCUACAACAAGUUCGAGCCCGUUAAUGGGUGAGAGCGUGCCUUUUGUAGAAUGAACCGGCGAGUUACGAUAUGAUGCGAGGUUAAGUUGAAGAGACGGAGCCGUAGGGAAACCGAGUCUUAAUAGGGCGUCAUAGUAUCAUGUUGUAGACCCGAAACCAUGUGACCUACCCAUGAGCAGGUUGAAGGUGAGGUAAAACUCACUGGAGGACCGAACCAGGGCACGUUGAAAAGUGCUUGGAUGACUUGUGGGUAGCGGAGAAAUUCCAAACGAACUUGGAGAUAGCUGGUUCUCUCCGAAAUAGCUUUAGGGCUAGCGUCGAUGUUAAGUCUCUUGGAGGUAGAGCACUGUUUGGGUGAGGGGUCCAUCCCGGAUUACCAAUCUCAGAUAAACUCCGAAUGCCAACGAGAUAUAAUCGGCAGUCAGACUGCGAGUGCUAAGAUCCGUAGUCGAAAGGGAAACAGCCCAGACCACCAGCUAAGGUCCCAAAAUAUAUGUUAAGUGGAAAAGGAUGUGGGGUUGCACAGACAACUAGGAUGUUAGCUUAGAAGCAGCUAUUCAUUCAAAGAGUGCGUAAUAGCUCACUAGUCGAGUGACCCUGCGCCGAAAAUGUACCGGGGCUAAAACAUAUUACCGAAGCUGUGGAUGACACAAAAGUGUCAUGGUAGGAGAGCGUUCUAUGUGUGAAGAAGGUGUACCGUGAGGAGCGCUGGAACGCAUAGAAGUGAGAAUGCCGGUAUGAGUAGCGCAAGACAGGUGAGAAUCCUGUCCACCGUAAGACUAAGGUUUCCAGGGGAAGGCUCGUCCGCCCUGGGUUAGUCGGGACCUAAGGAGAGACCGAAAGGUGUAUCCGAUGGACAACAGGUUGAUAUUCCU
Molecule: ribosomal RNA, 1432 nt
Filed under: Streptococcus agalactiae
Lineage: Bacteria; Bacillati; Bacillota; Bacilli; Lactobacillales; Streptococcaceae
Description: bacterial LSU rRNA
Rfam family: Bacterial large subunit ribosomal RNA
Source: RNAcentral